This 329-nucleotide unclassified non-coding RNA is filed under the name soil metagenome. RNAcentral's name for it is "partial contains 5.8S ribosomal RNA, internal transcribed spacer 2, and large subunit ribosomal RNA". The stretch from base 1 to 120 matches the Rfam family "5.8S ribosomal RNA", at positions 35 to 154 of the family's 154-position model. The record is from RNAcentral.
GAUGAAGAACGCAGCGAAAUGCGAUAAGUAAUGUGAAUUGCAGAAUUCAGUGAAUCAUCGAAUCUUUGAACGCACAUUGCGCCCCUUGGUAUUCCGAGGGGCAUGCCUGUUCGAGCGUCAUUAUAACCCCUCAAGCUCAGCUUGGUGUUGGGGCCUGCUGCACUGGCAGCCCUUAAAAUCAGUGGCGGCGCCAUCUGGCACUAAGCGUAGUAAUUCUUCUCGCUAUGGAGUCCUGGUGGAUGCUUGCCAUCAACCCCCAAUUUUUCUAUGGUUGACCUCGGAUCAGGUAGGGAUACCCGCUGAACUUAAGCAUAUCAAUAAGCGGAGGA